AGAUUAAUAGUUUAAAUUUAAAAUAUUUAAAUUGCAUUUAAAUGAUAUUAAAUUUUUAAUUUAAUUUU
This 68-nucleotide transfer RNA is filed under the name Microgaster sp. SNS-2016. RNAcentral describes it as "tRNA-Ala". The record is from RNAcentral. Lineage: Eukaryota; Metazoa; Arthropoda; Insecta; Hymenoptera; Braconidae.